UACGGAGGGAGCUAGCGUUGUUCGGAAAUACUGGGCGUAAAGCGCACGUAGGCGGCGCAGCAAGUCAGGGGUGAAAUCCCGGGGCUCAACCCCGGAACUGCCCUUGAAACUGCAGUGCUAGAAUCUUGGAGAGGCGAGUGGAAUUCCGAGUGUAGAGGUGAAAUUCGUAGAUAUUCGGAAGAACACCAGUGGCGAAGGCGACUCGCUGGACAAGUAUUGACGCUGAGGUGCGAAAUCGUGGGGAGCAAACAGG
This 253-nucleotide ribosomal RNA is filed under the name uncultured bacterium. Its description in RNAcentral is "partial 16S ribosomal RNA". It matches the Rfam family "Bacterial small subunit ribosomal RNA", at positions 524 to 776 of the family's 1533-position model. The record is from RNAcentral.